This is a long non-coding RNA of Oncorhynchus gorbuscha (pink salmon), 1092 nucleotides long. RefSeq lists it as uncharacterized. The record is from RefSeq and is a predicted model, not a curated record. NCBI's taxonomy places the organism in Eukaryota, Metazoa, Chordata, Actinopteri, Salmoniformes, Salmonidae. The transcript has 5 exons.
CAUUGAUUCAGGAGAUCACACAGACAGUGUGCCAGGAGUGAUUCCCCAUGGUUCAGUUGGAAUGGUCAUGGUACAGCAGAGCAGCUGCAUCCAGCAGGAUGGACCAUCACUGUAACAACUUCAGAUUCUAACCUCCACCACAUGAUGCUGAGCCCUCUCCCUCCAUGCCCACAUCCAGUUUAGCAAAUAACAGCCAUCUCAGUUCAAUUGGUUGCCAGAGGUCAUCCGAGAAUCCAGUCUACUGCAAUAUGAUGUCAGGUGAAUUCUAUGAUGCUGUAGCGAGUAUUUGCCCGGACAGCCUGGAUGACCAUGAACCAGAGACUAUGGCAUAGCUAAUGCCUCAGAAUCAACAGAGCAUCAGACUGUCUCCUCUCAGUCCUACCAGCCCUCUAAGAGCCUGCCGCCCAACCACAGCCUCCUUUCCCCCAACCAGCUGGUCUCCCCUGCUCCUCCUGGCUCUGGAUAUAGCUACAACCACAUGGCUGGAUCCUACUCCUCACAGAUCAGCAGCAUGCCCCUGUUUUUGACACUGACAGUCCUAGAUUACCUGUCAAUCAUAAUGAAAACUUGUCAGAAGAUAUGACCCUACCGUUAUGCUUGUUUACACUGUGCUGUUUACACUGUGCAAAUCAACCAUCAAACUUGAAAAGCUUCAUAACAAUUGACCAUGGAGUUGAAAUGUGAUAUGGAUAACGGAUGUCCCGCCAGUACCACCAGACCCCCUGACCCCUGUACCCUCACUCUCCGGCUCUGGUCCCUGAUGGUCAGUCCUCCGCUUCCAGUGUCGUACGUCUCAGUGGAUCUCUAUGGGACUCCAAAUCCAAGAAGUCACUCCUGGUCACUGCAACUGCACUAAAUCCUAUAAGUAUCUGUCAUUUCUAUUUUGGAUAAGUAAGAUAUACAGUCAUUUCUUUCAUACUCUUGUUAUCUGUUAUGUAGAGUUUUGCGUUUUAAGUAAUCUCACAUCUAGUGAGAAGGUUUGUUCCAUGUCCAGGCAAUGACUCAGCAAUCAUUGGGUGUUUUGUCAUAAUUCCUUUCACUCCUUGUGUCAUUUUCCAUUGUAAGCCAUCAUGACUGCUUCAUUGUGGCCUC